UUACACAUGCAAGUCGAACGGCAGCACGGGAGCAAUCCUGGUGGCGAGUGGCGAACGGGUGAGUAAAGUAUCGGAACGUGCCCAGUCGUGGGGGAUAACGUAGCGAAAGUUACGCUAAUACCGCAUACGAUCUAUGGAUGAAAGCGGGGGAUCGCAAGACCUCGCGCGAUUGGAGCGGCCGAUAUCAGAUUAGGUAGUUGGUGGGGUAAAGGCUCACCAAGCCGACGAUCUGUAGCUGGUCUGAGAGGACGACCAGCCACACUGGGACUGAGACACGGCCCAGACUCCUACGGGAGGCAGCAGUGGGGAAUUUUGGACAAUGGGCGCAAGCCUGAUCCAGCCAUGCCGCGUGCAGGAUGAAGGCCUUCGGGUUGUAAACUGCUUUUGUACGGAACGAAAAGGUUUGGCCUAAUAAGCUGAGCUCAUGACGGUACCGUAAGAAUAAGCACCGGCUAACUACGUGCCAGCAGCCGCGGUAAUACGUAGGGUGCGAGCGUUAAUCGGAAUUACUGGGCGUAAAGCGUGCGCAGGCGGUUAUGUAAGACAGAUGUGAAAUCCCCGGGCUCAACCUGGGAACUGCAUUAGUGACUGCAUAGCUGGAGUACGGCAGAGGGGGAUGGAAUUCCGCGUGUAGCAGUGAAAUGCGUAGAUAUGCGGAGGAACACCGAUGGCGAAGGCAAU
RNAcentral lists this ribosomal RNA (681 nucleotides) under uncultured Curvibacter sp. RNAcentral's name for it is "bacterial SSU rRNA". It matches the Rfam family "Bacterial small subunit ribosomal RNA", at positions 49 to 725 of the family's 1533-position model. The record is from RNAcentral. Lineage: Bacteria; Pseudomonadati; Pseudomonadota; Betaproteobacteria; Burkholderiales; Comamonadaceae.